Molecule: ribosomal RNA, 254 nt
Filed under: uncultured bacterium
Lineage: Bacteria
Description: partial 16S ribosomal RNA
Rfam family: Bacterial small subunit ribosomal RNA
Source: RNAcentral
UACAGAGGGUGCGAGCGUUGUUCGGAAUUACUGGGCGUAAAGCGCGCGCAGGCGGCUCUUUAAGUCCACUGGUCAAAUGCCGGGGCUCAACCCCGUGCCCGCCAGGGAUACUGGAGAGCUGGAGACACGUAGAGGCAAGCGGAAUUCCGGGUGUAGCGGUGGAAUGCGUAGAGAUCCGGAAGAACACCGGAGGCGAAGGCGGCUUGCUGGGCGUAGUCUGACGCUGAGGCGCGAAAGCGUGGGGAGCGAACAGG